Molecule: ribosomal RNA, 279 nt
Filed under: uncultured bacterium
Lineage: Bacteria
Description: partial 16S ribosomal RNA
Rfam family: Bacterial small subunit ribosomal RNA
Source: RNAcentral
UGCCAGCCGCCGCGGUAAUACGGAGGGUGCAAGCGUUAAUCGGAAUUACUGGGCGUAAAGCGCACGUAGGCGGACUAUUAAGUCAGGGGUGAAAUCCCGGGGCUCAACCCCGGAACUGCCUCUGAUACUGGUAGUCCUGAGUUCGAGAGAGGUGAGUGGAAUUCCGAGUGUAGAGGUGAAAUUCGUAGAUAUUCGGAGGAACACCAGUGGCGAAGGCGGCUUCCUGGACCGAUACUGACGCUGAGACGCGAAAGCGUGGGGAGCAAACAGGAUUAGAUA